UUAAGCGACUAAGCGUACACGGUGGAUGCCCUGGCAGUCAGAGGCGAUGAAGGACGUGCUAAUCUGCGAUAAGCGUCGGUAAGGUGAUAUGAACCGUUAUAACCGGCGAUUUCCGAAUGGGGAAACCCAGUGUGUUUCGACACACUAUCAUUAACUGAAUCCAUAGGUUAAUGAGGCGAACCGGGGGAACUGAAACAUCUAAGUACCCCGAGGAAAAGAAAUCAACCGAGAUUCCCCCAGUAGCGGCGAGCGAACGGGGAGCAGCCCAGAGCCUGAAUCAGUGUGUGUGUUAGUGGAAGCGUCUGGAAAGGCGCGCGAUACAGGGUGACAGCCCCGUACACAAAAAUGCACAUAUUGUGAGCUCGAUGAGUAGGGCGGGACACGUGGUAUCCUGUCUGAAUAUGGGGGGACCAUCCUCCAAGGCUAAAUACUCCUGACUGACCGAUAGUGAACCAGUACCGUGAGGGAAAGGCGAAAAGAACCCCGGCGAGGGGAGUGAAAAAGAACCUGAAACCGUGUACGUACAAGCAGUGGGAGCACGCUUAGGCGUGUGACUGCGUACCUUUUGUAUAAUGGGUCAGCGACUUAUAUUCUGUAGCAAGGUUAACCGAAUAGGGGAGCCGAAGGGAAACCGAGUCUUAACUGGGCGUUAAGUUGCAGGGUAUAGACCCGAAACCCGGUGAUCUAGCCAUGGGCAGGUUGAAGGUUGGGUAACACUAACUGGAGGACCGAACCGACUAAUGUUGAAAAAUUAGCGGAUGACUUGUGGCUGGGGGUGAAAGGCCAAUCAAACCGGGAGAUAGCUGGUUCUCCCCGAAAGCUAUUUAGGUAGCGCCUCGUGAACUCAUCUCCGGGGGUAGAGCACUGUUUCGGCAAGGGGGUCAUCCCGACUUACCAACCCGAUGCAAACUGCGAAUACCGGAGAAUGUUAUCACGGGAGACACACGGCGGGUGCUAACGUCCGUCGUGAAGAGGGAAACAACCCAGACCGCCAGCUAAGGUCCCAAAGUCAUGGUUAAGUGGGAAACGAUGUGGGAAGGCCCAGACAGCCAGGAUGUUGGCUUAGAAGCAGCCAUCAUUUAAAGAAAGCGUAAUAGCUCACUGGUCGAGUCGGCCUGCGCGGAAGAUGUAACGGGGCUAAACCAUGCACCGAAGCUGCGGCAGCGACGCUUAUGCGUUGUUGGGUAGGGGAGCGUUCUGUAAGCCUGUGAAGGUGUGCUGUGAGGCAUGCUGGAGGUAUCAGAAGUGCGAAUGCUGACAUAAGUAACGAUAAAGCGGGUGAAAAGCCCGCUCGCCGGAAGACCAAGGGUUCCUGUCCAACGUUAAUCGGGGCAGGGUGAGUCGACCCCUAAGGCGAGGCCGAAAGGCGUAGUCGAUGGGAAACAGGUUAAUAUUCCUGUACUUGGUGUUACUGCGAAGGGGGGACGGAGAAGGCUAUGUUGGCCGGGCGACGGUUGUCCCGGUUUAAGCGUGUAGGCUGGUUUUCCAGGCAAAUCCGGAAAAUCAAGGCUGAGGCGUGAUGACGAGGCACUACGGUGCUGAAGCAACAAAUGCCCUGCUUCCAGGAAAAGCCUCUAAGCAUCAGGUAACAUCAAAUCGUACCCCAAACCGACACAGGUGGUCAGGUAGAGAAUACCAAGGCGCUUGAGAGAACUCGGGUGAAGGAACUAGGCAAAAUGGUGCCGUAACUUCGGGAGAAGGCACGCUGAUAUGUAGGUGAAGUCCCUUGCGGAUGGAGCUGAAAUCAGUCGAAGAUACCAGCUGGCUGCAACUGUUUAUUAAAAACACAGCACUGUGCAAACACGAAAGUGGACGUAUACGGUGUGACGCCUGCCCGGUGCCGGAAGGUUAAUUGAUGGGGUCAGCGCAAGCGAAGCUCUUGAUCGAAGCCCCGGUAAACGGCGGCCGUAACUAUAACGGUCCUAAGGUAGCGAAAUUCCUUGUCGGGUAAGUUCCGACCUGCACGAAUGGCGUAAUGAUGGCCAGGCUGUCUCCACCCGAGACUCAGUGAAAUUGAACUCGCUGUGAAGAUGCAGUGUACCCGCGGCAAGACGGAAAGACCCCGUGAACCUUUACUAUAGCUUGACACUGAACAUUGAGCCUUGAUGUGUAGGAUAGGUGGGAGGCUUUGAAGUGUGGACGCCAGUCUGCAUGGAGCCGACCUUGAAAUACCACCCUUUAAUGUUUGAUGUUCUAACGUUGACCCGUAAUCCGGGUUGCGGACAGUGUCUGGUGGGUAGUUUGACUGGGGCGGUCUCCUCCUAAAGAGUAACGGAGGAGCACGAAGGUUGGCUAAUCCUGGUCGGACAUCAGGAGGUUAGUGCAAUGGCAUAAGCCAGCUUGACUGCGAGCGUGACGGCGCGAGCAGGUGCGAAAGCAGGUCAUAGUGAUCCGGUGGUUCUGAAUGGAAGGGCCAUCGCUCAACGGAUAAAAGGUACUCCGGGGAUAACAGGCUGAUACCGCCCAAGAGUUCAUAUCGACGGCGGUGUUUGGCACCUCGAUGUCGGCUCAUCACAUCCUGGGGCUGAAGUAGGUCCCAAGGGUAUGGCUGUUCGCCAUUUAAAGUGGUACGCGAGCUGGGUUUAGAACGUCGUGAGACAGUUCGGUCCCUAUCUGCCGUGGGCGCUGGAGAACUGAGGGGGGCUGCUCCUAGUACGAGAGGACCGGAGUGGACGCAUCACUGGUGUUCGGGUUGUCAUGCCAAUGGCACUGCCCGGUAGCUAAAUGCGGAAGAGAUAAGUGCUGAAAGCAUCUAAGCACGAAACUUGCCCCGAGAUGAGUUCUCCCUGACCCUUUAAGGGUCCUGAAGGAACGUUGAAGACGACGACGUUGAUAGGCCGGGUGUGUAAGCGCAGCGAUGCGUUGAGCUAACCGGUACUAAUGAACCGUGAGGCUUAACCUU
RNAcentral lists this ribosomal RNA (2902 nucleotides) under Escherichia coli. Its description in RNAcentral is "bacterial LSU rRNA". It matches the Rfam family "Bacterial large subunit ribosomal RNA". Lineage: Bacteria; Pseudomonadati; Pseudomonadota; Gammaproteobacteria; Enterobacterales; Enterobacteriaceae. The record is from RNAcentral.